UCCAUGCCGUAAACGAUGGAUACUAGGUGUCGGGGGACUAGCCCCCUCGGUGCCGUAGCAAACGCGUUAAGUAUCCCGCCUGGGGAGUACGAUCGCAAGGUUGAAACUCAAAGGAAUUGACGGGGGCCCGCACAAGCGGUGGAGCAUGUGGUUUAAUUCGAUGCAACGCGAAGAACCUUACCUGGGCUUGAACCGCAUAUUGAUCUACUAUAGAGAUAUGGUAUUCUGAGCAAUCAGCAAAAUGCAGAGGUGCUGCAUGGCUGUCGUCAGCUCGUGUCGUGAGAUGUUGGGUUAAGUCCCGCAACGAGCGCAACCCUUAUCAUUAGUUACCAGCGAGUAAUGUCGGGACUCUAAUGAGACUG
RNAcentral lists this ribosomal RNA (362 nucleotides) under uncultured bacterium. Its description in RNAcentral is "bacterial SSU rRNA". It matches the Rfam family "Bacterial small subunit ribosomal RNA", at positions 794 to 1151 of the family's 1533-position model. The record is from RNAcentral.